RNAcentral lists this small nuclear RNA (90 nucleotides) under Spermophilus dauricus (Daurian ground squirrel). Lineage: Eukaryota; Metazoa; Chordata; Mammalia; Rodentia; Sciuridae. The record is from RNAcentral.
UUGCUUUGGCAGCACAUAUACUAAAAUUGUAACAAGACAUGGUCCCUGUGCAAGAAGGACAUGCAAAUUAAUGAAGCAUUCCAUAGGGGA